UGUCUGUGGUUAUCACAAAGACGUCAAGCAUUUGAACAGACACUACAACACAGAACAUUCAAUCAACUCAUUACGUAUCUUUCACUCACUUGUAGCUCUCCCAUUCGGAAUCCAUAGCAACCACUCCCAAAACCGACAAAUGAAAAUACAUUUAGAGAGGAACUCUUCGAAAGAUCCAUUUAGAACAGAUGACCAUCCGACUCUUACAAGCCAAACCCAAACCCUUGCCCAAUGCAAGUAGCUACAGGAACACAGAACCUGAGACAGGCUUUUGGCUGGGUGUCAGGGCCUGAAUUUAAAAGGUAUCUUGUAUAAUUGUAUUAAUUAGGAUCUGUAAGGCAAAACAGAUCCUGGAUCAGCAAUAUUACUUAGACUCUUGUAUGGUUUGUUUGUACAUACUGGCCCAGUUCUAAAUGGCUCUUCAGAGAGACUCGAUCUAUAAAGUGGACCAUGGUUCUCUGAACUGACCGUCGGCCCUAAUGUGUUGCUAAGCGGCAGGCACAGUGACUACACAAUCCCAUUUGCACUGCAUAACGCCACACAUUCAGUCAUCCUCUGAUUACUAAACAAAAGGACGAAAAGCAACAGCCUAUAGUUUUUUGUUUGAUCAGGUCAUGCCAAGUCGCAGCAUUUCUGGUACAUUUUACAAUACAUUUUACAAGGUUGCAAGAUGCACACACACUCCCUCUCAUACAUGCUCACACACACAAAAAAAACAUUUACAUCUGUUUGUUGAACAUACAGGUAUAAUUCAUAACUUCAUAUCAGCAUUGAAAAGUACCUACAGAAAAACAACAAAAAAUACACUGACAACACAAGGCCAGCUAGAAGAAGUGUUCCAUGUUGUUUUGUCUGCAACGAGGCACCAGAAAGAACAGUUUUGAAUUCCCCUAGAGGAACUCGUAGGCAGUUCGGAGGAUGCCACCAUUUUGACAACACAGCUCUAACUGGGUUGCUUUGAGUAAUAUUAUUACAAUCCAUAUAAAAUCAUUUACAUUUUGGGUAAAUGUCUCGAGUACAAAAAAGGCACUGCCAUUUGUUAUUCUAAAUAUGACUUCCCAGCCUCAUGCAUGCAUUUCUAAAAUAUAAAUUACUUUUUUCUUCUUUUUUACCCCCUCUUAAUUUUUAUGGUUUUUUUGCCUUUUCAAGUUUUUUUUCUUAAACAUAGGAUAUUCUUUUUCUUCUUCAAAUAUAUAUGUAAGCCUGCAGUCAAUACAGGACAUCGGCUCUGAUAACAAAAACAAACAAAUAGCACAGUAAAGCGGUAGACGUUUUGUUACAGUAUGGAUGCUUUCUCGAAUUUACAAAAAAAAAAAAGAAUGUCUCGCCAUCGAAUAAUGAUGCGAUAUCUGACUAUGUGCAGAGUCUUACAAAUUGAGUAAAAAAUUAAAAAUAAACUGAAACUGCGCAAAUCUUCAUUUACACUACAUUAAAUAAUAAUAUAUUUGGAAUAUUGAGGUUUUCAUCUAACAGUUAAUACUGUAGUGUGUCUGUGGAUCUCUCUCUUUCAGAGAGCGGGGAGAGCCCUCUAGUUUUGAUGCACUUUGGAAAUCAAAAAAAUGAACCCUUUUUUUGUGACACACGAGGUGAGCAGCUUCCGGAGGAGUCAAAGUCCGAUCCACUCCUGGUCCGGCUACUUCUCCCGGAGCUGCAGUAAUAAUGACCACAUUCACUACUGUUUUACUGCCAUUCUGUUUACCACUUCUGCUCCAUUGCUCUGAGACACACACAGUAUAAGCGCACAACCUAAUUGGCAGUGGUUAGUGUAUGUACGUCCCACUCAUUCUCUAUCCUCUGACCUACAGUUGUUGCCACGUCCAUCGCGAUGCCAUCGCUAGCCACGCGCUGGCAGUCGGCUCGGCAUUGGCUGACCAUUCCCUUAGGGCUGGGCCACUGGACCUCCAGCUUCUGAGGUUUACUGUCGCCUGUUCUAUUUGGCAAUGUUUCAAAGGGCCGUCGCCCCGUAUCCAGUUUGUUUUGCUGGUGGCUCAAUCAAGAAGUGAACUUUGUGACUGAAAGAGUAUUUAGGGGGUAACCAACUCCUUCUUAGCUUUAGAAAGAGCCACCUUCAGCCUAUUGGCCAACCAGGAAGAUACAAGCGUUUCUAAAGCAUCAAAAAUAAUUCACAUACCAACAACACCCCAAUAGAUGUCUCUUUC
Molecule: long non-coding RNA, 2159 nt
Organism: Esox lucius (northern pike)
Lineage: Eukaryota; Metazoa; Chordata; Actinopteri; Esociformes; Esocidae
Source: Ensembl